RNAcentral lists this signal recognition particle RNA (265 nucleotides) under Sedimentibacter sp. Its description in RNAcentral is "signal recognition particle sRNA large type". It matches the Rfam family "Bacterial large signal recognition particle RNA". From Rfam's summary of the family: The signal recognition particle (SRP) is a universally conserved ribonucleoprotein involved in the co-translational targeting of proteins to membranes. Archaeal SRP consists of a 7S RNA and homologues of the eukaryotic SRP19 and SRP54 proteins. Lineage: Bacteria; Bacillati; Bacillota; Tissierellia. The record is from RNAcentral.
CUGUGCUACACGGGGAGGUAGCGGUGCCCUGUUACUUGCAAUCCGCUAAAGCAAGGUGGAAUUCCCUGCCCUAGGCUUACAUUGUGAGGUUUGCCUUCGGCAAGUGGUGUUGAUAACUCGGUCUUGCGCAACAAAAACCUAUGAACCCUGUCAGGUCCGGAAGGAAGCAGCAGUAAGUAGACCCUUUUGUGUGACGCGAGGGUGCCGGGUUUGAGCUAACUGCCGGAGUAACGCUUGUUAUGUAUUGUCAAAGGAGGGUGCACAG